CUCUGGUACAGAAACCAUCUCCUCUCCAGACCAGACCCGGUCCCCUGGGCCAUCUGUGGGAGCAGAAGCUGGUGGUGGCACGGAUGCCAUCGUACCCUCCACAGCCCCGCAGCUCGCCCACUCAUCAUCUGCCUCGGACAGUGCUGCCACGUGUGAGUUUUGAUAGCUAGCUGUAUAACUCAGAACAUUAUUUAAAGAGUCUUUAUAAACAAAAUACAUCCUUUCUAUUUUAAAGAAAGGAGGAAUAAUAUUGUACUUGGCACAUUCUGUACGUUUAAAAACAUUUCACAGAAGUGAAAGUAUGGAUAAAUAUUAUUCUUGUUGGAAGAGGAGGAUAGAUUUUUUGUUGAAAACUUACAGUUGAAUUUUGCAAGCAAUUACUUCAGGAGUUCCUAUGUUGAAACCAUUUUUUCCUUGUCCUAAUGAUUUCCCAGUAGUAAAUAUUUCCUUAUUGCAUAUUCACACAUACAUUGUCUGCACCUAGAGAUGUUGGGCAAAACCUACCCGGCUGUUUUAGCUUUCUAUUUCCUCUCUCCUUUUUCAGCUUUUCACAGCAGUCAUGGACCCAAGAGCAUCCCAGUCACAGGAGAGGCAAUGCUGCACUCAGAAGUGUCCCCUGCACUCACCAGUGUGGUUGUGGGGACACCAGGGUCCCCCUCAAGCUCUGCCACCAGCACUGACCCCACCAGCAGUUUGGGACAAACCUUGUCCUCCUCGGUGACCAAGGCACACCAAACUGAUGGCUGGCAGGGAGACACAGACCUCACUGAGCAUCCCCAGGAGCUCAGCAGCUUGCUGUCUGCCUCUGCACAUGUUUUUACAGGUAUCAGAAGCAGCCGCCAACCAACUGACACAUCGACGGCAGAGAAAGAAACCUCAGCUUCCUCUACCACCAGUGCUUACGUUUCAGCCACCGCCACUGGCAGCGGAGGGAGGCCACCAAGGUCUGUCACAAACAGCAGCCACUGGGCAACAGAAGUCUCUGCUCCCAGCAGUGAUGUAUCCAGGACCUCGGGCACCAUCAGAUCCUCACCUGCCUCUUCUGUAAGAGCGACCUAUGGAGUGCAUGGGGCCAGAGAGACCACAGGUUUCAGCCAGCCUGUGGAAGACCCUUUGCUGCUACGCUCUCACUCUCCUGCAGAAGGUCCUACAGGUGAGCUCGAGUCAGAGGUGAAGUCCAUUUUUAUGGGGAGUAAAAGGAGGGUAGUUAUUUUAUCCUGCACUACCCAUGUAUCACAAAACAUUACAACUAUGUUGAAUAUACUGUUAAGAAAGGUGUAGCAUGAUUUCUGGGUCUGAAGGAAUUCGGCUCUUUUUGAGGAAAAAAUUUGGUUUAGUGUUUUUACCUAAAAGGCACACGUGAAAAGUUUCCUUAGGCCAAGAAAAAUAAUUUACUUUCGAAUCAUGGUAAUUUUUUACCAUCUCCAGUUGUUAUUUCUGUUUCAUAAGCAAGGGAACUAAGCACGUGGGGAUUCAAUCUUGUCCCUGCAGUUCCAGGGAGUAGGCUUCAGUUCCUGCCUUGUACACAAUGGACCACACUGCUUCUCAGAAAUGGAACCAGCUCAACAGAUUCAGGGC
Molecule: long non-coding RNA, 1578 nt
Filed under: Anas platyrhynchos platyrhynchos (common mallard)
Lineage: Eukaryota; Metazoa; Chordata; Aves; Anseriformes; Anatidae
Description: lncRNA (ENSAPLG00000030724.1)
Source: RNAcentral